This is a long non-coding RNA of Oncorhynchus keta (chum salmon), 576 nucleotides long. RefSeq lists it as uncharacterized. NCBI's taxonomy places the organism in Eukaryota, Metazoa, Chordata, Actinopteri, Salmoniformes, Salmonidae. The record is from RefSeq and is a predicted model, not a curated record. The transcript has 4 exons.
CAGUGAAGAUGGGCGCAGAGCUCUUCACCGUCUCGGCAAAGGAAACGGCCACAUUCUUCAGGCUCACCAGACCCAGCACCACACUGGUGAACCUACAGAAUGGAACAGCAUAAAGUACUCUGUAGCCACUCAGUGUGGACACCAGGUUUUAUCCGCUGUUUUGGUGAACCCCUCCCGCAUCUGAACUGUCUGACACAGACGGCACAGCAUGAUCAUAGGUAUGUUUUGAUGUGCGAGAGAAAGCCAGUCCCAUCAUCGCCACCUCACCUGCUCUUAAAAUAACCUUCGGGCCAACUGGGGGCCCAAGGCUGGUUAGGAGACACCGCAAUUGUGAAGAACUGAGAGAAUAUUAGGGUAGCACUGUAAUUCAUGAAUCAUAUGCUGUCUACCGCUGUUCUUAACUCUUUCCCUUUCUGUCUUCUACACCUCUCUCCCCACCUCGUCUUUCUUCCUCAAUUUAUAUGUGCAUUGAAGUACAGAUUGAACUUGUAUUUAUAAUAUACCAAUUAUCAUAAUUAUAAUGUAUUUAUAACACCUGGAUAAUGAACUUCUUUCAAUAAAGCGUUUCACAUUCUC